Molecule: ribosomal RNA, 503 nt
Filed under: uncultured bacterium
Lineage: Bacteria
Description: bacterial SSU rRNA
Rfam family: Bacterial small subunit ribosomal RNA
Source: RNAcentral
GACGAACGCUGGCGGCGCGCUUAACACAUGCAAGUCGUGCGGUACCGAUGGCAAGUCUUCAUGACGAGCCUUCGGUAUAGCGGCGGACGGGUGAGUAACACGUGAGUAGCUGUCCUAGGGAGGGGGAUAACGCCUGGAAACGGGUGCUAAAACCCCAUAAGCCUCGCAAGAGGUGAAAGUGUACUUGUUACAGCCUUAGGGUGUGCUCGCGGCCUAUCAGCUAGUUGGUGAGGUAAGGGCUCACCAAGGCUAAGACGGGUAGCCGGCCUGAGAGGGUGUACGGCCACACUGGAAUUGAGAUACGGUCCAGACUCCUACGGGAGGCAGCAGUGGGGAAUUUUGGGCAAUGGGCGAAAGCCUGACCCAGCGACGCCGCGUUGGGGAUGAAGUCCUUCGGGCGUAACCCGACUGUUGUAGGGGAAGGAAGAAAGUAGACGGUACCCGUACGACGAAAGACCCGGCCGAACCUAACGUGCCAGCAGCCGCCGGUAAUGAGUAGUACA